CCAUCACCGUCGCGCCAUCCCCGCCGACGCAGUCCCUGCCGCCGCCCGCCGCCCGCCGCCCACCUCGUCAUCGCCGCGCCAUCACUGCUGCAGCCGUCGCCUCGGCAUCCUCCCCCCCCCGGCCGUCGGCAGCGCCAUCACUGUCGCCGUCGCCUCGGCAUCACCCCCGUGCGUCGUUAGCGGGAGGAGCGCGGCGGCGGCAUGGGGAGGGAGGAGGCGGGGGAUUGGGAUGGCGAGCCGGUUCUGGGGGUGGUACGCGGACCGGCAGUUCCACCGGUGGGAGAAGACGGUGCUGUGGGACAUGGUGGAGCCGUACCGCCCGCCGCGCUCCGUCGCGCCCCUCGUCGGCACCUACGUCGUCGCCUCCGCCGUCACCGAGCAGCUCUACAAGGUCAGGAUUCCCUCAGGAGCACCACCUCCUCCACAAACCCCUCCCCUUUCGAUUCGUCCUUGUACGCCGUGCACAUGCCGCGCUUAACGUGCUCGACGGAAUGCUUAGCCGCUCCAUCUCGAAACUUAGGCAUGAACUUUGAAUGCUUCAGUGAUAAAAGUUCUGUGUAGAAUGCUCUUGUAUGGUAUGAUUAACCUGUAAUUGGUAGUAGUAACUAGCUGGAUCACCACUUCAAGUUGAUUUAACAUCAAAUUUGGUAAGGUAGCAUGUCGAAUAAUGCAAUCAAAUGGUUUUCUCUACUUUCACUGAACUGACUAGGAUCGAUUUAUCACACAAGCAAGUUUGCACCAUACUUAAGUACUGGUGAUUUAUAGAAUCAUGUUAUUCUAAACAAAUAUCGGUGAUAUACAAGAUCAGGUUGGAUGAAACAAUGCAAGGAAUAUACUUUGCUGAAUAACUAGGAUUGACAAUUUGACCUCCCUUUAUAGAAUUAUAUUUGACCAUCACUGCCAUGGUCACCUCGCCAUCCCCCUACAAGGUUUUUUUUUUGGCUUGAUCAUCAGCUUUGGAGGGUUGGUUGGCACCUAAUUGUUUUGGGCUCUUCUGUUGGAGUAUUAGGUUGGAUGACGUGACUACAUCGAGGCAGCAGUAUAAUAUUUGCAUGAUGGAUCCAGUUUGUACGAGGAUUUUACUUAUUUACUUAUUUCACAAAAGAAUUAUUUAAUGAGUAUAUGCAGAAUUAUUCCUUCACUCUUCCUAUGUUUUCAAGCUACACUUGGAUCAUCUGUUAAAGUUCCAUCUCCCUUGUGAGUUUUCCACCUCUCCAAUAGAAUAUAGCUUUAGGUGUAGAGCAGGAGGUAGCCAGCAACCUCAAUAGAGGGAAUAUGCUGACCGAAGAAGUCAUCAUGCCAGGAAAAAACCAACAGUAUAUGUUCUUACCGAUACUAAAUCAUUGUGCAUAUGUAGUGUCAUAUUAGUGUAAUUGCAAAUGGCAAACAUAAGGCCUCAUUUGAAAAUGAGAUAAAAGAAUGUGAUUACACAUCUCUUGUUUCAAUGUUAAUUGAAUGUCUUCUAUAUAUAAAAGAAAUAUAAAUUAAUUAACGUCAUUUUUGACAGAUUAAUGGAUUGUUACAUACACAUGGGACACCUAAUUAAGUUGCUCCUUUGAUAUCUGCCUUUAGAGGAAGAAAAUAUUGACUCAUUUUAUAACAAAGUAAAUGUAGCACCCUUAUCUUUUUGCUUAUGCAUCUACCCUAUAGUGCACCAAGAGGUUUUACUCAUUUACUCAUUACUCAUUGGAUAGAUCCAAUGGCCUGAAUCAAUCUAUGAUGGAUUUGACGGCCCAGAUCAGCUAUGUCUCUCUCCCUCUCAUCCCGCGUGUGCACUCCUCUCGGCCUGCCUCCAAAACCCUAGCCGCCGCCACUCCCUCCAUCGCCCUCCUGCCGCCGCCGCCCUACCGCCCCGCCGCUGCCGCCACUCGCUCCUCCGUCGCCCUCCCUCCUCGGUCGAGGACUCUCUCCGCCUGCCUCCCUCCCGUCCUGCACCCUCAACCCCAGCCGCUGCCUCUCCUCUUCGCGCUCUCAACCCUAGCCGCCUCCUGUACGCCCUCACGUCCCGCCGCCCUACUUGUCACGCUUGUGCUCGCCCUCUCGCUCAACAUUGCCGUCAGGUACCUGCUCCGCUGGAACCGCCGUGCAGGCAACGAGGCGUCGCCGUCUGUGCUGCUGCGGAAGACCUGGAGAAACCACCCGUGACCGAGGCUAAGCCGAAAUCGCCUCCUCCGGUGCUGCUGUACUCAGCGGCGGACACCAAGCUGGUCUGUGCGACGGAGUGCGCCAUAUACCUCGCCGAGUUCGUGGACGGGGACCCCGUGCGCGACAUGCCGGUGUGCGGCCACGGCUUCCACGCGCGGUGCACCGAGAGAUGCCUCGCUGGAGGCUGCCGCUCUUCGUGCCCAACUUGCCGCGCGCCGGCUGCCACGCCGGCCGGCGGCGCCGUAGCUAGCGAAUCGGAUGCGGCGGCGUCUUGAUGUACGUCUUGAAUGGACUUGGCUAACUGACUUGGUCGGCCCUUGUUCUUGGCAAGUUCUCAUGUUGAUUAAUUACUCCUCUGUUCGGUUAUGGGUACUUCUGUCUUGCUUGUUUGCUCUUUGAUCACUGAUCAGAGCUUCUGUUCAGUUGUUGGAUAAAUUUCUCUGAACCUAAAUUUGCAGAUUUAUUAACGUUUAGAACACUAGCCUUUCAAUGCAGAAGCUGCGGAUUUGCUUCAAAUUAAACUCUAGAAAUUUGCAGAAGCUGAAGAUUUGUUCACAGGAGAGGGUUUUGGCAUCCUUUUUCGGGAGAGAGGAGACAUGUUAGUUUGUUUUGUGAAGGAAAAAGAACAGGUAGGUCACUAUUUGGACUAAUCAAUAUGUUGUAUACCGGUGGUUUGUGGUCACUCAAUGUGUGGUGUCCCUCUUGAAUGACUAGAAUCAGCAAUUCAGCGUGCAUGUCUCAGCUGCUUGCUUAACUCUGAUGGCAAGGCAAGUAUAAAGUGUAAAAAUUAUUAAUAGGGACAAAAAAAAUGAUGAGUUAUGGUUGCGACAGUUUAACACCGGAACUCAUUAGCAUGUCAAUGAUUUUGCACUCCUGUUUGGUUUUGUGUAGUUAGCCAUAAUAUGGAACUCAGAUAUAUGUGGUUCAAUAUCUCAAUUCAGUAUCUUUAGUGCAGCUUUCCAUAUGGAAUUAAUUUGUAAAUAUUCCCAGUAAUGCCAUGGACAUGAGCCGUGAUGUUAUAAACUUUUGGUUCGUAAAUGCCCUAUAAAUUUUGGUUUGAA
Oryza brachyantha (malo sina) is the source of this 3206-nucleotide long non-coding RNA. RefSeq lists it as uncharacterized. The transcript has 4 exons. NCBI's taxonomy places the organism in Eukaryota, Viridiplantae, Streptophyta, Magnoliopsida, Poales, Poaceae. The record is from RefSeq and is a predicted model, not a curated record.